This 289-nucleotide ribosomal RNA is filed under the name Staphylococcus sp. SKL70935. RNAcentral's name for it is "partial 23S ribosomal RNA". It matches the Rfam family "Bacterial large subunit ribosomal RNA", at positions 237 to 521 of the family's 2925-position model. Lineage: Bacteria; Bacillati; Bacillota; Bacilli; Caryophanales; Staphylococcaceae. The record is from RNAcentral.
CCCUGAGUAGCGGCGAGCGAAACGGGAAGAGCCCAAACCAACAAGCUUGCUUGUUGGGGUUGUAGGACACUCUAUACGGAGUUACAAAAGAACAUGUUAGACGAAUCAUCUGGAAAGAUGAAUCAAAGAAGGUAAUAAUCCUGUAGUCGAAAACAUAUUCUCUCUUGAGUGGAUCCUGAGUACGACGGAGCACGUGAAAUUCCGUCGGAAUCUAGGAGGACCAUCUCCUAAGGCUAAAUACUCUCUAGUGACCGAUAGUGAACCAGUACCGUGAGGGAAAGGUGAAAAG